This is an RNA transcript of Tripterygium wilfordii, 1104 nucleotides long. RefSeq lists it as uncharacterized. The record is from RefSeq and is a predicted model, not a curated record. The transcript has 3 exons. Lineage: Eukaryota; Viridiplantae; Streptophyta; Magnoliopsida; Celastrales; Celastraceae.
AGUGUUUUCCAACGCAGGAGGUAUACGGGUGGGUAAAAUAGCAACACAGCUCUUUCGUUGCUAUUUUUAUCAACAACGAAGAGAGAGAAUGCGAGUAGGCAAUAAAACGAGGAAAUCACAACUGUCAUCUGCGCCCAAGCUUUCUUCCUUCCUUGCUCACUCUGCAAAUCGACUAUCUAAGAUGGAUCCUUCCCCAUAAGAUGAUUCAUAUCAACAAAUGUUGAUGAGCAAUGAGUUUCCAAUCAAUAGUGAUGAAGUGGAUUUUAACACCACAUUUAGGAUAGAAAAUGCCAAUGUAGAUGGUUCUAGAAUAGAGAAGAAAGGAUCAAGAACCAGAAAUUUUACUCAUGAUGAAGAUGUUCUAAUCAUGGCUGUAUAUCUCAACAAAGAUGCCAUCGUCGGAACCAAUCAACAAUCAAAUACAUUUUGGGGGAGGAUAUGCAAGUUCAUUGAGGACAAUGGAGAAAACAUAGUUACUCGUACUCAAUUAUCUGUGAAAAAGUUGUUGGACUAACAUCAAUAAGAAGUGCGCUAAGUUUGUAGGAUGUCUAAGUAAGAUUGAGAGGCUAAAUCAAAGUGGACAAACUAAGCAAGGAAGGCUUGUCGAGGCUCAAGAGCUUUAUAAAAUGGAAAUGGGAAAACCAUUUCAGUGCCAUCAUUGUUGGGAAUUAUUGAGAGAUGAUCCAAAAUGCCAAGCUUCCUUGUCAAGUAAGAAGCAAAAGGCCAAUACUGAAUCAAGCUCGGCUAUCCUUAGUGUUGUGAACUUAGAGGAUGAUAGUGAAGCUUCAGCUAACCAAGGAAGGCCUUUGGGUAGAAAAGCCUCAAAAAAACUACUCAAGGAAAAAAAAAGGGGGGAAAUGUUGCUCAAAACUCCACGUCAGUAUUCACACUGGAAUUUUGGGCAAAGAAGGAGGAUAAAGACCGAGCAAAAGCUGAGUGACAAGAGAGAGCACUAAAGCAACAUCAAGAGCAGCUGGAUAUUCAGGAAAAAUAUUAUGAGAUGGAGGUAAUGAACAAAGACACUACUAUUAUGGGUGUUGUAAAGGCAGUAUAUUAGAGCACUCACAUUGGUGUCUCUUAACAGAUAAACACCACCUUUGACAG